Molecule: long non-coding RNA, 1768 nt
Filed under: Hordeum vulgare
Lineage: Eukaryota; Viridiplantae; Streptophyta; Magnoliopsida; Poales; Poaceae
Description: long non-coding RNA (HVUL_LNC020567)
Source: RNAcentral
CCGGCGCAGGAUCUGAGUCGCCGUCGAUGGAUUUCGCGUAGCCUGGCUUCUUUUUCUUUGGAUCCGGUGCGUGCGUGCAAGCUCUCUCUCUCUCUCUCUCUCUCUCUCUCUCUCUCUCUCUCUCGGUGCGUGCGUGCGUGCGCGCAUUGCACACCACUAGACCCAAACCCUAAACCAAAUCAGGGGAGCUCUCGUUGCCGGAUCGCUGGCCUAUCGUCCGGAUGUCCGCCGCGUCAGUUCCCCACAGCUACGGUGCCGCCAGCCACCGCCGUUCCAUUGCCUUGGAUUCGGCUGUGCUCGUGGGCUGGGAACCGUGCUCUGUUGUCUGAUGCGUCGUUGGAGCGGGAGGUUUGAUCGGUCGAGGCCAGGUAUGAGCAGCUCCUUUGCUGGCUGGAUGGAUGGAUGUAGGUCAUAUGUCGUGAACUAACACCACGACACCUCUUUUGGAACGGAGGGAGUAUGUAUGUACGUAUGGAUGUCAUGGUCAUGUUGCUUGGGGGUUCAACCUCUUUUUGCGUUAGGGUUCACUUCGUGUGUUCUUUCGCUCCAGGGGUCAUUUUUGUCAAUUUUGCCCCCCUCCCCAUUAUUUUUGCUAAAUGGCCCCUUCACAGGAGUAUGUAGCAGAGCAUCUACAGCCAUACAUGGAUCUGGAACCGGAGCGGAUACCCAUCCGGGUCCAGAUCUCGACCGACCCCUUCUCCCGCUGGUGACGAGCCCCUAGCUAGCUAGCUCGGACCAGCCCGGCUGCGAGAGGCCACCGGUGGCAUGGCUGCGUGCGGCGGCAAGGCCGCGUGUAAUGCGAGCGCUCUACUUGGAUCUGUCCGAAUCCUGGCGAGCCCUGUCUCCCGCUCGCCGUGGCCGCUGAUCGCGCUCGUCGGCUGGGGCCGCGUCCCUCCUCAUACGGCGGCGAUGAUGGAGGGAGCCGCCGGCGCCGGCCAGGCCCCCGACCGGCGGACGCGCCGGGCNNNNNNNNNNGUCCGCCGCGUCAGUUCCCCACAGCUAUGGUGCCGCCAGCUACCGUCGUUCCAUUGCCCUGGAUUCGGCUGUGCGCGUGGGCUGGGAACCGUUCCCUGUUGUCUGAUGCGUCGUUGGAGCGGGAAGUUUGGUCGGUCGAGGGCCAGGUAUGAGCAGCUCCUGAGCUGGAUGGAUGGAUGCAGGUCAUGUGUCGUGAACUAACACCACGACACCUCUUUUGGAACGGAGGGAGUAUAUUUUGGAACGGAGGGAGUAUGUAUGUACGUAUGGAUAUCAUGGUCAUGUUGCUUGGGGGUUCAACCUCUUUUUUGGAUAAAGAAGAGGGGCGAUGCCCAUAAUUAUGACUGGCUGAAAUAAUCAUGUCUUUGAGACAUCAAGACAGCCGUGGCAAGGUGGGACUAAAUAGUGUCUGAAAGUGGGUAUCUGCGUUGGAGUUGCUCUUAGAGCCCACCCUUACCUCUGUUGCAGCCUGUCCAAUUCAUCGCCAAUGUUGGAUGUUCUGUGCCUUGGACGGUUGUUCUGAUGAGGGCAUGUACAUUGGUUCAGUCGGAAACCAUCGGCAGCAUGCGGCCAUCUCAGUGAUAACCAGGGCUGUUCUCUUACAUUGUGAUGUGUGGAUUAUGCAGCAAGAGAUGUGGGUGUUGGGUUUGAAGAUUAAAUGCUAAACUGAGACCUCUCUUGCUAUGCUACAUAUACUCAGUUCAGUUGCAUUUUGUUCUGGAUUUGGCAUGGAUCCUCUUCACCUCCCCCCCCCUCUCUCUCUCUCACACACACACACACACACACUCACACU